UACGUAGGGGGCGAGCGUUAUCCGGAUUUACUGGGCGUAAAGCGCGUUAAGGCGGUUGGCAAAGUUGGUUGUGAAAUCUCUGGGCUCAACCCAGAAAUUGCGACCAAUACUGGUCGACUAGAGUGCAAGAGAGGAAGGUGGAAUUCCCGGUGUAGUAGUGAAAUGCGUAGAUAUCGGGAGGAACACCAGUGGCGAAGGCGGCCUUCUGGCUUGCAACUGACGCUGUAGCGCGAAAGCGUGGGGAGCGAACCGG
RNAcentral lists this ribosomal RNA (253 nucleotides) under uncultured bacterium. RNAcentral describes it as "partial 16S ribosomal RNA". It matches the Rfam family "Bacterial small subunit ribosomal RNA", at positions 524 to 776 of the family's 1533-position model. The record is from RNAcentral.